Spea bombifrons (plains spadefoot toad) is the source of this 200-nucleotide long non-coding RNA. RefSeq lists it as uncharacterized. The transcript has 2 exons. The record is from RefSeq and is a predicted model, not a curated record. Lineage: Eukaryota; Metazoa; Chordata; Amphibia; Anura; Pelobatidae.
GGCCCUGGUACCUCAGGCUUCUCUGAAACAAAAAUAUCAACAUGGCGCAUGUAUUCUCAUGCAGCAGAAGCCUAACGGGGCCAAGAGUUAGCAGGGUCAGGCAGAGCAUGAAGCAGCGAGCAGAACUGACACAUAGCGAACACGAACUUUUACAGCAGAAAGGAAGAAACGGCUACAGCCCUCGAUAGCAUAAAAGAAAA